UACGUAGGGGGCAAGCGUUGUCCGGAAUCAUUGGGCGUAAAGCGCGUGUAGGCGGCUCGGUAAGUCUGCUGUGAAAGUCCAGGGCUCAACCCUGGGAUGCCGGUGGAUACUGUCGAGCUCGAGUCCGGAAGAGGCGAGUGGAAUUCCUGGUGUAGCGGUGAAAUGCGCAGAUAUCAGGAGGAACACCAAUGGCGAAGGCAGCUCGCUGGGACGUGACUGACGCUGAGACGCGAAAGCGUGGGGAGUAAACAGG
Molecule: ribosomal RNA, 253 nt
Filed under: uncultured bacterium
Lineage: Bacteria
Description: partial 16S ribosomal RNA
Rfam family: Bacterial small subunit ribosomal RNA
Source: RNAcentral